GAACUCAGAUUUGUUUAAUAGCAGAUAUUGUAGUGGAUCAUCUGUUACAGGUAAAUAUACAGAAAAAGAACCUAAACCUGAAUAAGUUAUGAGAUAGCUUGAAAAAUACAACAAAUAGUUAACCACAUGAUUCUUUUUUUUUUCUUUUAAUGUGAAGAAUGGUUGGUCUGAAUCCUAUGGCUUUUAAUGUGAAGAAUGGUUGGAAUGAAUCCUAUGGUCUGAAUUCUAAUCAGUUACAAAGCCAAGGCAAAACUGCAAUUCUGAAAGGAAUUUUCAUAGUGAUCUCUUUGAUGUGCAUUUACAAACGCAUAAUUUAAGAAACCAAGUUGAGGCCUGGAUCUGAAUCUCAGAAUGCAGGACACACUUAAGAGGAAGGCCAAAGGGCAAUUUUUACAUUACAAAAAUUAGCUUGACCCUGAAGAAAAACUGCUUUUAUAAAAUUAAAUACGGAUUGAAGUCAUGUAUUAUGACCCCUUCCAUCUGUUCAGCCUACACACAUACUAUAGAUAUUCCGUAUUCAGAGUCUGUUUCCAUAUAUACUUUUCCGCGGGAAAGAAGAGAAAUAUGUUUAUUUCACCUUUUUGCUGAAUUAAUUCCUAUGGCAUUAUAUGGUGGAUCUUUGGAACGGCUGUGACCAGAAUCUGCCUGCUUUUGCUUUUCACUUAAGCACAGCUGACCAGCCUGUGCAGAAGCCAGCUUCCCAGAUAUGCAAGCACCUCGGGGCAGCUGACUUCUCCAAAGCAUAGGAAAUGCUCUCAUUUGGGGGCUCCGACUUCUACCAUAUAAUUAGCACUUUACUGGUGCAAGGCUGGUGCUGCUUCCCCUUUGAGUUCUGCCGCUGAGGCCCAUGGUUCCUUAGUGGGUGGAGGUGAAGCAGCUGGUUCGCCACUGGUCCAGCAAGCCAGGCUGCUCCUCUAAGCAUGGGCUUGAUAUACAGCCCAGUGUGAGACCCAGAAAAAUGAGAGCCUUCUCUCCUCAGUGAGAUAGAAUAUUUAAGUUUAGGCCUUUGCUUUAAAAUUUGGAACUGGUGUUCCCUGGUGGCUCAGCAAGGAACCACCCCUGUCACUGCUGUGGCUUGGGUUGCUAUUGCUAUGUUGUGGGUUCAGUCCCAGGCCUGGGAGCGUCACACAAUGCCAUGGGCAUGCCCACACCCCCAACAACAAAAAAAAUAUUUACUUUGCUAUAUGCCUGAAAUUAACAAACUUUGUAAGUCGACUAUAUUUCAGUAAAAUUAAAAAAAAAAAAGAAAAAAAGAUUUGGGGCUCUAUUUUGCCCUUCAGAGCUGUAUGUAUCAAUUCCCCAAAGCAAUUUUUCUUGGAUGCAUUUUGCCUUGAAUUUGAAAUAUGCCUUUGAUGCUUUUUAUUUAAUAAGACACAGGCACAGGACUACAUUCAUUAUUUAGACUAGAGGUUCUUUUGCACUUGAUGUAAGAAAAAAAACUGGCAGGCAUGUUCAGGGUAAUUGCAUGGAGUGAAGUGUACCCAAUUUAUAGAAAGCUUAUUGAAGGAAUACAAAACUUCCAAAGUAAGCCCGAGAAAUCAUUCAUUCAUAACUGAUUGACAUUUGCCCUGAUCUGGAUCCUGUGCUUUGCUAGCUUUUAAGGCAAAGCAAAGACACAAUUAUUUAAAAGUGAUGUGAAAAACAGUUCUGAAAGAAAGCAAUCCUCGAGGGUGCAUAUAUUUUAUUUUUUUGUCUUUUUAGGACCGCACCUGAGGCAUAUGGAGGUUCCCAGGCUAGGGGUCUAAUUGGAGCUGUAGCCUACACCACAGCCACAGCAAUGCCAGAUCCUUAACCUACUGAGCAAGGCCAGGGAUUGAACCUGUGUCCUCAUGGAUGCUAGUCAGAUUCAUUUCUGCUGAGCCACGAUGGGAACCCCUGGAUAUAUUUUAAGUGAUGAUUCUCUCUUAAGUAAUGUGAUUCACAGACCACGGAGUUAGGCCCCAGGAAUCAUCUCUCACCCUAAUGUUUCCACCUGGCAACCCUCAAUAUUCUCGCAUUAAAAGAUAAAUAAAUGCAAUGUAAAUAAUGUCAACCGCUCAUAAAAGAAUAAUUAUCUCUUAUUCUUUUGUAGACUUCUAUUUCAUUAAGAAUUUUGCUAUGCACCAAAUGGGUGCAGUUAGGCUUAAAGUCUAAUUUUGGGAACCUAGCUCCUUUGAGACUAUUUAUUUCUUUUACAUUUCUAGUUAACGUCUAUAAAUCCAUCUGAUACUAAAAAAAAAAAAAAUCUGAUGUGAAGAAAUUGUAACUCUAAAUCCUUUUUCUACAUAAAAAGUCUAAAAUUUAUGAAGAGGUAAAUGCAACAUUUAUAUCAGUUAACUCUUCUCUAGACCUAAUGGCAGAAACAUUCCAGGCAAUCAAAAAGCACGUAGGAAAAACCAGCUUUAAUUGAUUCCUCAGAGAAUGCUUUUCUAGAUUAUAAAUAAAUUCUUAUAUUCUCUAUUUGUCUAUUUCAGGAAAUACACAAAUGAAAUCCAGGAUAUGGGGAAAUGAAACGCUAAUAAGAAGUAGGAGGAUAUUAAAAUAUCCCUACUUUGCAUAUAUGGGGCAAAGGCAGUCUACCCUAUCAGGGGAAUAAAAGCAAAUGUGAAUGAGAAUUCUUUCUUUCUUGCUUCUUUUUUUGGGGCUGCACCCAUGGCACAUGGAAGUUCCCAGGCUAGGAGUCAAAUCGGAGCUGCAGCUGCCAGUCUAUGCCACAACCACAGCAACACGGGAUCUGAGCCGUGUCUGCGACCUACACCACAGCUCGUGGUAACGCCAGAUCCUUAACCCACUGAGUGAGGCCAGGGAUCCAACCCGUAUCCUCAUGGAUGCUCGUUGGGUUCGUUACACUGAGCCAUGAUGGGAACCCCGGCAAAGGUACAGGCUUCAUUUGGCCUGGAGAGAGGCACUGGGCGAGACAUUUUGCGACAGUAUCUGGAGGGGUGUGGGUGUUGCUCCCAGGUAGGAACAUUGUACAGAACCCCAUCCAGAGUGACCAUGUGGGGGUCAGGUGGAGAGACACCCGUUGACAAAGCCUCUCCUGGCUGCACGGUCUUCCGCGCAGCCUUGUAGACUGUGAUACCAUGUAGUCAUCCACACAGCAAUCAGCAUUUUCUAUCUUUAGAAGAAAUGAUGGCAUUUGCCACCGGCGAGUGUGAUCUGUGUAUUCAUGGAACAGCUUGACUCUUUUAUAAUAGACCUGAAGAUGCAGUCCUGGGGGUCUACUGUGUUGUCAUUCCUUUAAUUAAUUUUCUAUCUGAAGACUUGCCAGCUUUGUGAUUAUGCUCUCAUGUACACGGUCAUAAGAAGUCCACUUCACAGCAAAAUGUUCUUUAGUAUCCCUUUUGAUAUAUAUUUUCAUCCAUAUGUAACUUAGGGAUAAAAAAGUUCAAGGAAUAUGAAAAAACACAAUAAAUGGAAGGAUUCAAUACUUCAAAAGCCACUCAUUUACCUUGUUCUUCAAAUUUUUUUAAGGUUUAGAAAAUUUACUAGUAUUCCAAAACAUUUUCAGAAUUCUUAUAAAUCCUCUUUCAGAAUGUCCGCCUCAACUGGAGUGAGAUCAUAUGCCUCUACUGUGAGGGCACAGUAGGAACUCAAUAAAUGCUUGUUUCAAGAAUGAAUGGCUAUAAAGAGAUACUUAUGUUUCUCUUUCCACCAUAAGAGGUAAAAUCUAUAAGUAGUGUUAUCUCUGCUCGUGGCAUUUAUAUAACAAAACUAAGUUCAGUAUAAGAAUUGGUUUAAAGUCCUACUAUAAGAAUGAGAAAUUUAAAAGUGGAAUGAAAAGUCUAGGGUCUGUCCAUGAAUUACUAAAUAUAACAUGCUUGACC
RNAcentral lists this long non-coding RNA (3806 nucleotides) under Sus scrofa (pig). Its description in RNAcentral is "lncRNA (ENSSSCG00005002027.1)". The record is from RNAcentral. Lineage: Eukaryota; Metazoa; Chordata; Mammalia; Artiodactyla; Suidae.